UGGAUGAGCUUUAUUGUGCCCACCGAAAGGUGGAUUUUUGGAGGAUCAAUCAGUGGCUCUCGCAGUGUGGAAAAGGUGCGACCAGUGGGAAGUUAGCAGUGUGUCCCACCCUUGUCUGGGUUGAUAACUUAACCACAGAAGAAAGUCUCCUUUUUGUGGUCACAUUCGGUGACUUUGCAGGAAGAGAAGAGGGGAGAGAUAGGUUUGGAACUGAAGAAACCUAGUGACAAAGAGGUCACUGUUUGGACUCUCUCUCUAAGUAGCCCGUGAGGGUGUCCCAACCUCAAAUCUUCCAAAUCAGGAUUACCAUAUACAUCGAUUGUCAAGUCUCCAAAAUUGGGACCAUCAUGUACAUCAAUUGUUAUGUACCAAAGGUGAUAACGUUCUCGCUUCUCCCCCACCAAUUUCAACUGGUUGAUGUGGUACCAUCUGCUUUUAUCUGUACACUGAUGGACUUGCUUUGUCUAUAAUUUCAUAGGGCCCUUGGAUUUAAAAAUGAGAUAUGUGACGGGAUCCUGAAUUAUCUCUUAUGGACUGUACCUUUAAAAAGAGAGAGAGAGGGUGCGACUAACUUGGAGAGAGAGAACGAGCAGCUCGUGAGUCGUCAUGGUAACCGAGGGCGGCGUUAUUUGAUGGACAGCUGGUGUUCAGCAUGCUGAGAUAAAUACAAGGCAGAAGAUACAAAAGCUUGAAAACAGGUACCGCCAGGCUCAAUGACAGCUUCUAUCUUGGUGUUACAAGAUUCUUGAAUGGACUUCUUGCACAUGAGCAAUGGACUCAACAACACAAUCUACCUCAUCAUGGCUCUUGUACCUUGUCCAUCUGCAUUCCCUAACUGUAAGACUAUAUUCACAUCACUAUUGUUUUCCCCUUGUACCACCCUGAUUAUUUAGGUUUUGAAAUGAUCUGUACAGAUGGCAAAUAAAGCAAAGUUAGCUUUUCACUGUACAGAAACAGGUGAAUUGAUUAUGGGGAGCAAGGACAUGGCAGACCAAUUGAAUAAUUACUUUGGUUCUGU
Mobula hypostoma (lesser devil ray) is the source of this 1018-nucleotide long non-coding RNA. RefSeq lists it as uncharacterized. The transcript has 4 exons. NCBI's taxonomy places the organism in Eukaryota, Metazoa, Chordata, Chondrichthyes, Myliobatiformes, Myliobatidae. The record is from RefSeq and is a predicted model, not a curated record.